CAUCAAAUUAAGUUCAUCAAAUUAAUGCAUCCUAAAUUUUCUUUAGGGUGCGUUUGGUUCGCGCUAUCUUUUUAAGAUUCCUAAUAAAUCAAUAGGAUAAAAAAAUAUAACGGUAUUUGGCUAAACGCAUUAAAUAAUCUAGUUAGUAAUAUUAGACUUACUUGGAAAUGUGAUUCACCCGAAAAUACUAAUCUCAUUCUCUUGAGGAAGGGUGGGUAUCCUCGUAUUAAUGGAUUGAGAUAAUAAUAAUAUAUCUAAUUUUUUUUCUUUCUCUCUAUCCGCCGGCUAAUUGGUAUUAUUUUUUUUUACAUUUUAACCUCAUUUCUCUCUCUAAACUAAACUCUCUCUCCCUUUCUUUUUCUAAAAUCUCAAUUCUCUCACUCCCUCUAAUCUCGACUCUAUUUCUCUCUCUAUUUCUUUAAUUAUACUCUAUUUCCAACCUAUGUUCUCUCUCCCUUUUUUUAAAAAAGAUGUUGAAUUUUUAAUAGCAUUAUCUAAAAUUAAUUAAAAAAAUAAAUAAAUAAAUAAUAUUUUUUUGUAAUCUUAAAUAACAUAACUGAAAAAUAUAAUCGUGCGAACCAAACACUGGAAUACAAUAUUCUUAGUAAUAGGAUGAAUAAGAAUAAGAUUUUCGGACAUCUUUUUAUUCCUAGUAAUCUUUCAUAGUGCGAACCAAAUGCCCCAUUAGUUUAUUGUUCCUUCCUUUGUAAACUACAUAUGCUGUGGUAACGAAAGAAAGAUCACACUUAGGGCCUGUUUGGAUGCACAGUAAAAAAAUCUCUAAGGAAUUUAUAAACUGUGGUUUUAGUCUAGAUAAAAUAGAGAAUCCGGCAACUCUAAAAAAUUUCACGGAUUCAAUUUUUAAACUAUUUGGAUCUUAGUUAGUUAAUCCGCAUUUAAUUCGCGAAUUAUUCGCGACUUUUUCGACAACUGAAUUAAACGCCCGCAUCCGCAUUUUUCCAAAAAAUGCAUAAAAAAAUGUGUUUUUUUCACCAAUAAUAAUUAUCUGCGAUUCAUUCGCGAUUCGCGAAUGAU
This 1035-nucleotide long non-coding RNA is filed under the name Ananas comosus (pineapple). Its description in RNAcentral is "long non-coding RNA (ACOM_LNC004565)". The record is from RNAcentral. Lineage: Eukaryota; Viridiplantae; Streptophyta; Magnoliopsida; Poales; Bromeliaceae.